RNAcentral lists this ribosomal RNA (425 nucleotides) under uncultured bacterium. RNAcentral describes it as "partial 16S ribosomal RNA". It matches the Rfam family "Bacterial small subunit ribosomal RNA", at positions 354 to 796 of the family's 1533-position model. The record is from RNAcentral.
GUGGGGAAUCUUAGACAAUGGGCGCAAGCCUGAUCCAGCCAUGCCGCGUGAGUGAUGAAGGCCCUAGGGUUGUAAAGCUCUUUCACCGGUGAAGAUAAUGACGGUAACCGGAGAAGAAGCCCCGGCUAACUUCGUGCCAGCAGCCGCGGUAAUACGAAGGGGGCUAGCGUUGUUCGGAAUUACUGGGCGUAAAGCGCACGUAGGCGGACAUUUAAGUCAGGGGUGAAAUCCCAGAGCUCAAAUCUGGAACUGCCUUUGAUACUGGGUGUCUUGAGUAUGGAAGAGGUAAGUGGAAUUCCGAGUGUAGAGGUGAAAUUCGUAGAUAUUCGGAGGAACACCAGUGGCGAAGGCGGCUUACUGGUCCAUUACUGACGCUGAGGUGCGAAAGCGUGGGGAGCAAACAGGAUUAGAUACCCGGGUAGUCC